CCUACGGGAGGCAGCAGUGAGGAAUAUUGGUCAAUGGACGAGAGUCUGAACCAGCCAAGUAGCGUGAAGGAUGACUGCCCUAUGGGUUGUAAACUUCUUUUAUAUGGGAAUAAAAUGUUCCACGUGUGGGAUUUUGUAUGUACCAUAUGAAGAAGGAGCGGCUAACUCCGUACCAGCAGCCGCGGUAAUACGGAGGAGCCGAGCGUUAUCCGGAUUGAUUGGGUUUAAAGGGAGCGUAGGUGGAUUUUUAAGUCAGUUGUGAAAGUUUUCGGCUCAACCGUAAAAUUGCAUUUGAAACUGGCAGUCUUGAGUACAGUAGAGGUGGGCGGAAUUCGUGGUGUAGCGGUGAAAUGCUUAGAUAUCACGAAGAACUCCGAUUGCGAAGGCAGCUCACUGGACUGCAACUGACACUGAGGCUCGAAAGUGUGGGUAUCAAACAGGAUUAGAUACCCGAGUAGUC
This 460-nucleotide ribosomal RNA is filed under the name uncultured bacterium. RNAcentral describes it as "partial 16S ribosomal RNA". It matches the Rfam family "Bacterial small subunit ribosomal RNA", at positions 338 to 795 of the family's 1533-position model. The record is from RNAcentral.